RNAcentral lists this ribosomal RNA (303 nucleotides) under uncultured bacterium. RNAcentral describes it as "partial 16S ribosomal RNA". It matches the Rfam family "Bacterial small subunit ribosomal RNA", at positions 507 to 808 of the family's 1533-position model. The record is from RNAcentral.
AGCAGUAGCCGCGGUAAUACAGAGGAUGCAAGCGUUAUCCGGAUUUAUUGGGCGUAAAGCGCGUCUAGGUGGUUAUGUAAGUCUGAUGUGAAAAUGCAGGGCUCAACUCUGUAUUGCGUUGGAAACUGUGUAACUAGAGUACUGGAGAGGUAAGCGGAACUACAAGUGUAGAGGUGAAAUUCGUAGAUAUUUGUAGGAAUGCCGAUGGGGAAGCCAGCUUACUGGACAGAUACUGACGCUGAAGCGCGAAAGCGUGGGUAGCAAACAGGAUUAGAUACCCGGGUAGUCCCUGUCUCUUAUACA